This 253-nucleotide ribosomal RNA is filed under the name uncultured bacterium. Its description in RNAcentral is "partial 16S ribosomal RNA". It matches the Rfam family "Bacterial small subunit ribosomal RNA", at positions 524 to 776 of the family's 1533-position model. The record is from RNAcentral.
UACGUAGGGUGCGAGCGUUGUCCGGAAUUAUUGGGCGUAAAGAGCUUGUAGGCGGUUUGUCGCGUCUGCUGUGAAAAUCCGGGGCUCAACCCCGGACUUGCAGUGGGUACGGGCAGACUAGAGUGUGGUAGGGGAGACUGGAAUUCCUGGUGUAGCGGUGAAAUGCGCAGAUAUCAGGAGGAACACCGAUGGCGAAGGCAGGUCUCUGGGCCACUACUGACGCUGAGAAGCGAAAGCAUGGGGAGUGAACAGG